Molecule: ribosomal RNA, 305 nt
Filed under: uncultured bacterium
Lineage: Bacteria
Description: bacterial SSU rRNA
Rfam family: Bacterial small subunit ribosomal RNA
Source: RNAcentral
ACCCUACGGGGGGCAGCAGUGAGGAAUAUUGGUCAAUGGCCGAGAGGCUGAACCAGCCAAGUUGCGUGAGGGAAGAAUGUCCUAAGGAUUGUAAACCUCUUUUGCCGGGGAGCAAGGGCGGGGACGUGUCCCGGCCCGGAGAGUACCCGGAGAAAAAGCAUCGGCUAACUCCGUGCCAGCAGCCGCGGUAAUACGGAGGAUGCGAGCGUUAUCCGGAUUUAUUGGGUUUAAAGGGUGCGUAGGCGGGCUUUUAAGUCAGCGGUAAAAAUUCGGGGCUCAACCCCGUCCGGCCGUUGAAACUGGGG